ACUUUUAAAGGAUGACAGUCAUCCAUUGGCCUUAGGAACCAAAAAUAUU
RNAcentral lists this transfer RNA (49 nucleotides) under Colobus guereza (mantled guereza). Its description in RNAcentral is "partial tRNA-Leu". RNAcentral also lists the same sequence under 2 other names. The record is from RNAcentral. Lineage: Eukaryota; Metazoa; Chordata; Mammalia; Primates; Cercopithecidae.